RNAcentral lists this ribosomal RNA (253 nucleotides) under uncultured Longilinea sp. RNAcentral's name for it is "partial 16S ribosomal RNA". It matches the Rfam family "Bacterial small subunit ribosomal RNA", at positions 524 to 776 of the family's 1533-position model. The record is from RNAcentral. Lineage: Bacteria; Bacillati; Chloroflexota; Anaerolineae; Anaerolineales; Anaerolineaceae.
AACGUAGGAGGCGAGCGUUAUCCGGAUUUACUGGGUGUAAAGCGCGUGCAGGCGGUUGGCUAAGUUGGGUGUGAAAGCUCCUGGCUCAACUAGGAGAGGUCGCUCAAAACUGGCCGACUGGAGAACAGUAGGGGAAGGUGGAAUUCCGGGUGUAGUGGUGAAAUGCGUAGAUAUCCGGAGGAACACCAGUGGCGAAGGCGGCCUUCUGGACUGUUUCUGACGCUCAGACGCGAAAGCUAGGGGAGCAAACGGG